CCUACGGGGGGCUGCAGUGGGGAAUAUUGGACAAUGGGCGAAAGCCUGAUCCAGCCAUGCCGCGUGAGUGAUGAAGGCCCUAGGGUUGUAAAGCUCUUUUGUGCGGGAAGAUAAUGACGGUACCGCAAGAAUAAGCCCCGGCUAACUUCGUGCCAGCAGCCGCGGUAAUACGAAGGGGGCUAGCGUUGCUCGGAAUCACUGGGCGUAAAGGGUGCGUAGGCGGGUUUCUAAGUCAGAGGUGAAAGCCUGGAGCUCAACUCCAGAACUGCCUUUGAUACUGGAAGUCUUGAGUAUGGCAGAGGUGAGUGGAACUGCGAGUGUAGAGGUGAAAUUCGUAGAUAUUCGCAAGAACACCAGUGGCGAAGGCGGCUCACUGGGCCAUUACUGACGCUGAGGCACGAAAGCGUGGGGAGCAAACAGGAUUAGAUACCCCGGUAGUC
RNAcentral lists this ribosomal RNA (440 nucleotides) under uncultured bacterium. Its description in RNAcentral is "partial 16S ribosomal RNA". It matches the Rfam family "Bacterial small subunit ribosomal RNA", at positions 338 to 795 of the family's 1533-position model. The record is from RNAcentral.